ACGGAGACAUGGCAUAAGCCAGAAGGUGACGCUGACUAGAUUCUCAACUUGAACUGAUUUGCAUCUCAUUUU
Apaloderma vittatum (bar-tailed trogon) is the source of this 72-nucleotide non-coding RNA. The record is from Rfam. NCBI's taxonomy places the organism in Eukaryota, Metazoa, Chordata, Aves, Trogoniformes, Trogonidae.